Long non-coding RNA from Polyodon spathula (Mississippi paddlefish), 2026 nucleotides. RefSeq lists it as uncharacterized. NCBI's taxonomy places the organism in Eukaryota, Metazoa, Chordata, Actinopteri, Acipenseriformes, Polyodontidae. The record is from RefSeq and is a predicted model, not a curated record. The transcript is spliced from 12 exons.
UCAAGCACUUGCCUGCCUGCGCCAGCUAGCGUUGUGUUUGUGGUCACUGCGUUUGUUGUGGCAAUGGCGCAUAUUAAACUUUCACAGCAGACUCUGUGGGAAGUCGGAUUUGAUUUACCCCACUCUGAUAUCAACAAUCAGGUACAGGCUCCGGAGACGCGGAUUAAUGGAAUAAAAGAGCCUGUGCUUGGAGAGCAGUUCUCCAUUGGAAAACAUUCCCAAUGCGGGACUGACAACGCAGUCUUUGCUGUGAGGUUUGCGGCGUUUUAUUUUGGAUAAUGGAACGCUUCCCGAAUCUGUGGCAGGAACAGUUUUGCCUAUGAAAAUGAUGCUGGGGCCAAAAUACGAUGACCUGGUCCCAGCGGAGAACCGAUUCCACCCCAGCAUGCUCUCUGAUUAUCUAAAGAGUCUCAAGGUGAAAAUGGGACUGCUAGUUGAUUUGACCAACGCAACACAAGUUUACAACCGGAAUGAGAGCGAACAAGAAGGCAUUACAUAUGUGAAACGUCAGUGUAAAGGAGGCAUGGUGAAUGCUCUUCGACAGAACACACUCGGAUGUUUAUCAGGCUGUGUGAGCACUUCAUGGAAAAGACUCCUACUGAACUGAUGGCAUCAGAACUGCUGUGGCUGCUUUUGCUCAAGCGAGACUACCAGGAAUUUACAAGGAGAUUACCUGAAAGAGCUGUUCUGUCGCUGUGGUGACGCGGAAGACUCCCCUCCUGCCCCACCUCCGCCAGACUGGUGUUUUGAAGAUGAUGAUGAUGAUGUGCAACACGAUUGGUCAGGACAGGGGACCUGGCUCUUCAGGGUCAUUGCCAGGCAAAAAGAAAAAGGAACAUCUCAAACUGGGAGCUGUGUUCUUGGAAGGAAUUCAAGUUAAAUUUGUAACGCAAACAAAGCUUGGUGAAAUCUAGAGGAAAUGUCAGCAGUUCUCUGAAUGGGAAAGGUCUGGGUUCCCUGGAGCACAGCCAGUAUCCAUGGGUAGAAGAACCAACAAUUCCUGGAGCAAAAGGCAUACAAAGUCAGCUGGAAAGCAGAUGGCACUCCUUCUUGAUGGCAGUUUUACCUCUCAAGUAAGCCAUGCAGUAGGGAAAUACAAGCCUGGCAGAUGUGAUUAUAUAUUGAAAUGGAAACUUCCUAUCCUCAACUCUGUGGAUUUUCGUCUUAAAAUAACAAAAGCAGGAGGCUAGGGUUGCUGACACAGACUGUAGGACUGCUGUAUGUUGGCAGCUAUGAAAGACAUUUUGCUCAGGUGAAGGGGUCAAAAGAUCUGAAACAGCAUGACAACAAAAUCAUUGAAUGCACCUUUGUGAACAACACCUGGGUUUUCAUGCACCAGCGAAUAGACAAGAGCUUCCCAAACGCCUACGAAACAAACAGCCAUGGUGGUUUGCAACAGCAUUCAGCAUCCAGUCACAAAGGCAAUCCUGCUGGAAUUCAUCGAUAGGUGUGCACUUCCAGCUUGAGGACAAACACCCCCUGGAUCCAGACUCGGAGCUGAUGCCACCCCCUCCCCCAAAGAGACCGAACCGAGUUAUACCAUAGCGCUGGGGCCAGGGGCCACUCGCACCCCUUCACUACCGCUGCUGCUGUGCAGUGUCAGUUCACCUGCACAGAGCACCCCCACGUUUACUGAAAUAGAACAUCCACCUCUGUGGAAUUGACGAUGUACAAACAUUUCUUCUUAGGGCUAUGGUUAAUAUUUAGGGUUAUCUGUGGCAGCCUUUCAAAAAGGACUGCUUCUCUUUUAAAAAUGGAUUGCCCUCCUCCUCCUCCUCCCCCCUUGCCUGUACAGGAAUCAUAUACAUUUUCUGUUUGUGUUUAAUUUUGAUCAUUCCAAGUACUGUAGCGUGGAUUUCUUAUUUUGCCUCAGAGACAUUUUUACUAAACUGUAUGCAAUAUAUUCUCAUUUUACAUACAAGCAAGGACUGGUUUAGUUUAAUUAUUUUUAAAAGAAGUAUUUUACGCAUUUGUUGAUUGGUGUGAAACAUUAAAGCAAUAUGUUUCAAUUUGUUUUUUGUAUUUC